GACGAACGCUGGCGGCGUGCUUAACACAUGCAAGUCGAACGGAAAGGCCCCUUUGGGGGUCCUCGAGUGGAGAACGGGUGAGUAACACGUGAGUAACCUGCCCUUGACUUCGGGAUAACUUCAGGAAACUGGGGCUAAUACCGGAUAGGAAUCCUUGCUGCAUGGUGGGGGUUGGAAAGCUUCGGGGGUUUUGGAUGGACUCGCGGCUUAUCAGCUUGUUGGUGGGGUAGUGGCUUACCAAGGCUUUGACGGGUAGCCGGCCUGAGAGGGCGACCGGCCACAUUGGGACUGGGAUACGGCCCAGACUCCUGCGGGAGGCAGCAGGGGGGAAUAUUGCACAAGGGGCGGAGGCCGGAUGCAGCAACGCCGCGCGCGGGAUGACUGCCUUCGGGUUGGAAACCGCAUUCAGCAGGGGCGAGGCUUGUGGUGACGGUACCUGCAGAAGAAGCACCGGCUAACUACGUG
RNAcentral lists this ribosomal RNA (465 nucleotides) under uncultured bacterium. Its description in RNAcentral is "partial 16S ribosomal RNA". It matches the Rfam family "Bacterial small subunit ribosomal RNA", at positions 28 to 507 of the family's 1533-position model. The record is from RNAcentral.